Molecule: ribosomal RNA, 542 nt
Filed under: uncultured bacterium
Lineage: Bacteria
Description: bacterial SSU rRNA
Rfam family: Bacterial small subunit ribosomal RNA
Source: RNAcentral
GNGGAAUAUUGGUCAAUGGGCGAGAGCCUGAACCAGCCAAGUCGCGUGAAGGAAGACAGUCCUAAGGAUUGUAAACUUCUUUUAUACGGGAAUAACGGGCGAUACGAGUAUUGCAUUGAAUGUACCGUAAGAAUAAGCAUCGGCUAACUCCGUGCCAGCAGCCGCGGUAAUACGGAGGAUGCGAGCGUUAUCCGGAUUUAUUGGGUUUAGAGGGUGCGUAGGUUGUUCGGUAAGUCAGCGGUGAAACCUGAGCGCUCAACGUUCAGCCUGCCGUUGAAACUGCCGGGCUUGAGUUCAGUGGCGGCAGGCGGAAUUCGUGGUGUAGCGGUGAAAUGCAUAGAUAUCACGAGGAACUCCGAUUGCGAAGGCAGCUUGCCAUACUGCGACUGACACUGAAGCACGAAGGCGUGGGUAUCAAACAGGAUUAGAUACCCUGGUAGUCCACGCAGUAAACGAUGAUUACUAGGAGUUUGCGAUAUACCGUCAAGCUUCCACAGCGAAAGCGUUAAGUAAUCCACCUGGGGAGUACGCCGGCAACGGUG